Molecule: long non-coding RNA, 454 nt
Filed under: Homo sapiens (human)
Lineage: Eukaryota; Metazoa; Chordata; Mammalia; Primates; Hominidae
Description: non-protein coding CYP1B1-AS1:25
Source: RNAcentral
AUAUUGGAUCGGCUGUGUGUCAAGCAUCUGAGGUUCUAACCAUAGCUCCAUUACUACCAGUCCGUGUGACUUGGGGAAUGCUGCUUACCUUCUUUGAGACCCAGUUUCUUCAUUACAAGAUAAAGAGCUUGCUAGGCAGCACUGAGAAGUGAAGGAAUAUUUGGGAGGAUCAGAAGCUUGGUCCUGAUUUUGCCAUCAACAGGAACUUGAUGACUUCAAGGGAGUCCCCAAACCCUGGGUUUCUGUUUUCUCAACUCUAACAUGAGGGGCUAGAUGCAUCUGGUUUAGUUAGUCUCCAUGAUGGUUUAGUUCGUCUCCAUGAUCCUGUGAAUUUCAGAUGUUGAAAAUCUUCGGAAAAGCCCUGAAAGAUGAACAGUGGUCUCAAAUAGUCAAGACCCCCUGCUGGGAGGAGCUUCUAUCCUGCUCUGUGGAAGAAAUGGGCAUGCCAGAUGCC